Long non-coding RNA from Hyla sarda, 356 nucleotides. RefSeq lists it as uncharacterized. The transcript has 3 exons. The record is from RefSeq and is a predicted model, not a curated record. NCBI's taxonomy places the organism in Eukaryota, Metazoa, Chordata, Amphibia, Anura, Hylidae.
UGCUGCAAGCAGGCUUGAGAAAGCAGCCAUGACCUUAUCAUGCUCCUGGAGCACCGCCCGUGUACCAAGACUACUGAUUAUCAUGGCUCGAAUAAGGAGGAUAACAGACCAAUGUGGUUACAGAUCGGCCCGUGCUCCGCUGGAUCAUCUUGACCGUAUUGCCAUUGUUCCUCAGUACGGGGUAGACGUGUGAUCCGUGCGUUAGAGAUUGGAGUUACCAAACAGCUUUCUGGAUGUCUGAGAUCAUCAAACACUUAAUUAAAAUCAGGGCCAUGAGGAGGCGAAGAAAAGAGGAAAGAAUUAAAGUCAAUCUCCUACCAAUAGCUCUAGAGACAGACAGGCUUCCAUUAACCCUC